RNAcentral lists this ribosomal RNA (319 nucleotides) under uncultured eukaryote. RNAcentral's name for it is "partial 18S ribosomal RNA". It matches the Rfam family "Eukaryotic small subunit ribosomal RNA", at positions 1470 to 1796 of the family's 1831-position model. The record is from RNAcentral.
CCCUUAGAUGGUCUGGGCGGCACGCGCGCUACAAUGAUGCAUUGAAAAAGUCUUCUGACCUUAGAAGGUUGGGUAUUCUCCAAAGUGCAUCGUGAUGGGAAUAGUUUAUUGCAAUUUUUAAUCUUGAACGAGGAAUUCCUAUUAAGUACAGGUCAUCAACUUGUGUUGAUUACGUCCCUGCCCUUUGUACACACCGCCCGUCCCUCCUACUGAUUGAGUGUCUCGGUGAAUUCUUUGAUCUUCUGUCGAUUCAGUUCACUGAUCCGACGGUGGAAAGUUGGAUGAACUUCGUCACUUAGAGGAAGGAGAAGUCGUAACA